AAGCCGUAAGUCGAUUGUGAACUUUUGGUCUGUAUCCUUUGCAAGGAUUCCACAAAUUGGCUUGUCUCGACAUGACUCUGGCCAGUUAUUCACCGUUCGCCGCAUGGAGACAUAUGUACAUAUAUGUAUAUAUAUCGCUUAUAUUUACCCCGAAUGCGAGUUUCAAGCAGAUCUUUGGUCCCCGGUAAGCGAACCAUUUGUCUGUGUAAAAGAAAUUCUUUGUGCCAUACCAACGAAGAUACGAGAUACAACAGGAACGGCAACGGCUGAGAAGAAUCGACGGACCGGGAACCAAAAUAAAUGCGCAAUGCAUACAUGGAGCGCACAGCGGAGCGAGACGGCACUACAACGUGACAUUCCUUAAAUUUUUGUUUGUGUUCAGGGAACAUUAAAAAAUAUUUUUAUCUUGUGCAAAACCAUGAGGAAUCAACUUCUGAUGGGAAGAAUCCUUUUUUUCCAACUUGCUGCUGCUUGUGUGUCGCUUUGACGUUGCCGAC
Molecule: non-coding RNA, 497 nt
Organism: Drosophila melanogaster (fruit fly)
Lineage: Eukaryota; Metazoa; Arthropoda; Insecta; Diptera; Drosophilidae
Source: Ensembl